Molecule: small RNA, 27 nt
Filed under: Bombyx mori (domestic silkworm)
Lineage: Eukaryota; Metazoa; Arthropoda; Insecta; Lepidoptera; Bombycidae
Description: ovarian small RNA-4501
Source: RNAcentral
AGACUUGUGCAGGGCGACCUCCAGGCC